This 100-nucleotide small RNA is filed under the name Pan troglodytes (chimpanzee). RNAcentral's name for it is "processed transcript". Lineage: Eukaryota; Metazoa; Chordata; Mammalia; Primates; Hominidae. The record is from RNAcentral.
UUGCAACAAUGGGAUGGCUUCAGCUGUGACUGUAGUAUGACUUCCUUCAGUGGACCACUCUGCAAUGACCAUAUGUGCAUCACAAUGUAGAAGAUGGGGU